UGGGGAAUUUUGGACAAUGGGCGAAAGCCUGAUCCAGCAAUGCCGCGUGUGUGAAGAAGGCCUUCGGGUUGUAAAGCACUUUUGUCCGGAAAGAAAUCCUUGGCUCUAAUACAGUCGGGGGAUGACGGUACCGGAAGAAUAAGCACCGGCUAACUACGUGCCAGCAGCCGCGGUAAUACGUAGGGUGCAAGCGUUAAUCGGAAUUACUGGGCGUAAAGCGUGCGCAGGCGGUUUGCUAAGACCGAUGUGAAAUCCCCGGGCUCAACCUGGGAACUGCAUUGGUGACUGGCAGGCUAGAGUAUGGCAGAGGGGGGUAGAAUUCCACGUGUAGCAGUGAAAUGCGUAGAGAUGUGGAGGAAUACCGAUGGCGAAGGCAGCCCCCUGGGCCAAUACUGACGCUCAUGCACGAAAGCGUGGGGAGCAAACAGGAUUAGAUACCCUGGUAGUCCACGCCCUAAACGAUGUCAACUAGUUGUUGGGGAUUCAUUUCCUAGUAACGUAGCUAACGCGUGAAGUUGACCGCCUGGGGAGUACGGUCGCAAGAUUAAAACUUAAAUGAAUUGACGGGGUCAU
Molecule: ribosomal RNA, 573 nt
Filed under: uncultured bacterium
Lineage: Bacteria
Description: partial 16S ribosomal RNA
Rfam family: Bacterial small subunit ribosomal RNA
Source: RNAcentral